RNAcentral lists this ribosomal RNA (497 nucleotides) under uncultured bacterium. Its description in RNAcentral is "partial 16S ribosomal RNA". It matches the Rfam family "Bacterial small subunit ribosomal RNA", at positions 28 to 507 of the family's 1533-position model. The record is from RNAcentral.
GACGAACGCUGGCGGCGUGCCUAAUACAUGCAAGUAGAACGCUGAAGAGAGGAGCUUGCUCUUCUUGGAUGAGUUGCGAACGGGUGAGUAACGCGUAGGUAACCUGCCUGGUAGCGGGGGAUAACUAUUGGAAACGAUAGCUAAUACCGCAUAAAAUGGAUUAUCGCAUGAUAAUCCAUUGAAAGGUGCAAAUGCAUCACUACCAGAUGGACCUGCGUUGUAUUAGCUAGUUGGUGGGGUAACGGCUCACCAAGGCGACGAUACAUAGCCGACCUGAGAGGGUGAUCGGCCACACUGGGACUGAGACACGGCCCAGACUCCUACGGGAGGCAGCAGUAGGGAAUCUUCGGCAAUGGACGGAAGUCUGACCGAGCAAUGCCGCGUGAGUGAAGAAGGUUUUCGGAUCGUAAAGCUCUGUUGUAAGAGAAGAACGAGUGUGAGAGUGGAAAGUUCACACUGUGACGGUAUCUUACCAGAAAGGGACGGCUAACUACGUG